ACCAGCGGUGGCGUUGCGCUUGGAUGGGCUUGGCGGGCCUCGUCGAUGGGCUCUGCGGGCUCCAUCGAUGGGAUCGCUGGAUUUUUUUUGUUUUUUUAUGUUAUUAACCGAGGCGGGCAUCAAACCGCUUCGAAAAAGAUCUCAUUAACUGUGACCUUUGAUCCGAGGCGGUUGGCUAAAACGUCUCAGUUAAUCUUUUUUGCCCGCCUCGGUUAAUAUUUUGUGUAGUAGUGUUAAUUGUUUGAGAUUACAUAAAAAUAUAAUUGGUUAAGUUUCUUUAAAUCAGCUUUGCACAUCUACGAAUGCGGCACCAUAGCUCACGGUUUGCUGGCAGCAGCCGUUCAGCCUGUCGCGUAUUAAUGGCCAACUCAUUGUCGCCCUCACAAAUUUUUAGAGGCACUCACAAUAC
Molecule: long non-coding RNA, 409 nt
Filed under: Sorghum bicolor (sorghum)
Lineage: Eukaryota; Viridiplantae; Streptophyta; Magnoliopsida; Poales; Poaceae
Description: long non-coding RNA (SBIC_LNC006145)
Source: RNAcentral